This 93-nucleotide non-coding RNA is filed under the name Elusimicrobiota bacterium. RNAcentral describes it as "Elusimicrobia bacterium c-di-GMP sequence". It matches the Rfam family "c-di-GMP-I riboswitch aptamer". From Rfam's summary of the family: GEMM was predicted in a large-scale screen for bacterial structured RNA regulatory elements. Genes associated with GEMM are involved in a diverse array of functions, including chemotaxis regulation, signal transduction, secretion and chitin. Lineage: Bacteria; Pseudomonadati; Elusimicrobiota. The record is from RNAcentral.
UAGCGAAAAAAGCAAACCCCGACAUGAAUCGGGGGGCGCAAAGUCGAAGCCCGUCAAAAUGUGAAAGCUUUUGUCGGGGGCUGGACUGCCGAA